This 65-nucleotide transfer RNA is filed under the name Cavia porcellus (domestic guinea pig). It matches the Rfam family "tRNA". Rfam says of the family: Transfer RNA (tRNA) molecules are approximately 80 nucleotides in length. Their secondary structure includes four short double-helical elements and three loops (D, anti-codon, and T loops). Further hydrogen bonds mediate the characteristic L-shaped molecular structure. tRNAs have two regions of fundamental functional importance: the anti-codon, which is responsible for specific mRNA codon recognition, and the 3' end, to which the tRNAs corresponding amino acid is attached (by aminoacyl-tRNA synthetases). tRNAs cope with the degeneracy of the genetic code in two manners: having more than one tRNA (with a specific anti-codon) for a particular amino acid; and 'wobble' base-pairing, i.e. permitting non-standard base-pairing at the 3rd anti-codon position. The record is from Rfam by way of RNAcentral. Lineage: Eukaryota; Metazoa; Chordata; Mammalia; Rodentia; Caviidae.
GGAGAUUUAGCUCAGUGGCAUAAGCAUCUGCAUGGUAAGCACAAGGUUCAUGAGUUCAAUCUCCA